AGAAUCUCAGUGGAACUCAGAACAUAAUUGAUGUCAGGAAUCUGUCAACUCAAACAUUCACUGAAGGCCUACUAUGCAUAAGGAAUUGCGCAAGACCCCAGAGGAGGUUGAGUGACAAACUACUGAAAGAAAUGAGGAUUAUGUUACUUGGUGGAGGAAAAGAGAACUUCAGAGGAGAUACGAGAACUGUCUAAAAAAAAAAAACACAUGAAGGGCUUCCUGGCAGAAACAGAUUUGAUUUAUCCUCAGAGGCUCCAGAAGGCAGAGUUUAAUCAACUAGUUCAAUUCCUGAGAGGCUGAUUUUGGCUAAAAGAAGGAUGAAUUUUCUGAUAUAACUAUCCAGUAACAGUGAGGUAGCAAGUUCCUUCUCACCGAAUGUGUCAAACAAGGUUUGGGGGUGCUGUGGAGGGAUUCACAGAAGUUUUAUAGUUGGGGUUUGAGAUUUAGGAACAUACUACGGUUCAGAUUAACUCUGGAUUAAGGUCAAACAUACAAGAAAUCAGACCAGGCUGGGUGCGGUGGCUCACGCCUGUAAUCCCAGCACUUUGGGAGGCGGAGGCGUGUGGAUCACGAGAUAAAAGAUAAUGCCUGGACAUGCAGACUUCCCAUAAAUCCCACUGGUGUGGAGAACCCUUAAACACAGCCAGUUCAUAAGGAGAG
Long non-coding RNA from Homo sapiens (human), 660 nucleotides. RefSeq lists it as uncharacterized. NCBI's taxonomy places the organism in Eukaryota, Metazoa, Chordata, Mammalia, Primates, Hominidae. The record is from RefSeq and is a predicted model, not a curated record. The transcript is spliced from 4 exons.